RNAcentral lists this long non-coding RNA (3053 nucleotides) under Sus scrofa (pig). RNAcentral's name for it is "lncRNA (ENSSSCG00015052655.1)". Lineage: Eukaryota; Metazoa; Chordata; Mammalia; Artiodactyla; Suidae. The record is from RNAcentral.
UAGGAGAGAGCGAGAGCGAGAUUGAGGAAGAGGAGGGAGAGAGUUUUGGCGUCGGCCGCCCUUGGGUGCUGGGCCCCAACAGUGGGCCGCCGCCCGCCUGAGCAGUGUCGGGUCCGGCCCCGCUUGGCCAGGCCUGCACCCGGCCUGCUGGUCUCCGGGUCUCCCCACCCCGGCACCCUCCGAAUGUGGAUGCCCCAAAGCAGUGAGCGCCCCUGUGGGCAAGGGUCAGCACGGAUGCGAGAGUCCCUGGUUGCUGUGGGUGCAUGCUUAAGGAGCAGGUGGGGGAAAGGAGUGAUGAGAGAGUCACCCUCCCCUUGGCGACAUUAGCUCAGCUGCCCAGAAAGCCUGGUGCUUAUCUCCUAAGGCCCAGAGAGGCAGCCACUAGCCUCCGGUCACACCACCAGCGUCCUGAGGCUCCGAGCCUGCUCGCCCCGCCACCUCUUUCCUCGCCCGUCCUCGCCUGCUCCCAGAUGGUCUCCAGAGGAGAGUCUGGACCUCGGAAUUUACUGGACUUGGGGUUCCUCUGCCUCCUGCCCCACUUUGCCUCAACCUUCAGGGCCAGCUCUCGGGCUGCCCGCUCCAGGAAGCCUGCCAGGACUUGCUCCCCCCACCAGAACAGCUGUCACCUUCCUGCCCAGAGAGGGGAAGUGACCCAGCCAGGAUCACUCAGCAAGGGCACAGGCAGGAGCUCAACCUCCUGGAUCACGCUGCUCCUACAUCCCACACACCAGCCCCAGGCAGCCAGGCACGCUUCCAGAGAGGAACAGCACCAGACACUGUUUUGAGCAAUCCCCUGAAGAAGCAGAUGUGAUCCCUGAGACAGACCUCAAACAAGAGAACCAAAGAGAACAGGUUCUGAUGCCCAGGGAGGAGAGCAGUGGAUUUCCUGGGGCAGGCCUCUGGGGUGCCCAGCCAGCAGAGGGAGGCCGGACUGGGCCCUGCGUGCUCUCCUGGGCAUUCGCCAAGGCCUUGGCCCCAGCCCAGCCUCCAGCCAGAGUCUGUCCCAGGGCUGUCACUAGGCAGCCUCCAGAUCCUCAGCCCGCCCUGGGGCGUCCCCUGCUCCCCGAUGGAUAGAGUCAUCUGCCAAGGGGGAUCCCUGCCCCGGAGAAACUGGGAACUUGUGACACUUCCUGGGAGAGUUUUUAAAAAUCCUUAAAAACCACCCUCUCUCUUCCUGGCCCCAGGGCACCCUGGGGAACUGCCCAACCUCCUGGGGAGUCCCCAGCCCAGCCCACCUGAGUGAGUUUUUCAGAAAGAGAUGCGAUUUUCCCUGGCCAUCCCCGCUGCACACCCAGCUGAGCCCUCUCCUCGGAGCCCCGGGCCCUUCUGGGCCCGUUGUCCCCAUUCUCUGGAUAAGACCUCGAGGUGACCCGGGCAGACCCUGACUGCUAAGAGGGGGCAGUCCCUCAGGGCCUGACAGUUGUCCCAGGCAGACUGGAGGCAUCCCAGCCUCACGCCCCACCAAGUUGUGGUCCCAGGGGGUCUCUGAGGUCCAUUCCUCACCCGGGCCCACAGUAGCCCACUGGGAGUGGCUGGUGGCCUGCCCGAGUCACCUGGAGGCCAAGGGAGCUGGCCCGGGACAGAGGCCUGAGAAGCUGGGUGACAGGUUGAACCAAGUGGGGUGGGGUCAGCCGCACUUCAAGUUCAGGCCAAGCGGGGUUCUGGAGGCUCCUGGGCCCAGCACCCCAAAGUGCUGGCAAACACACCUGCAUGAAUGGCACAGACAGGAGGCUGCGUGGACCCUACACCUUGGGCCUCUGUCUUGGGGCUGUGCAAAGGGGCAGGGAGCAUCUGGCUCCCAGGGGGCCGGGGGCAGUCAGUGACCUGGGCUCUCAAGUCUCAGGCCCAGGGCUGGGCGCCCAUGGCUGUGGUCGCCGUUGGGACACAGCCCCUUCCUGGCUGGUGGCCUUGCUCCUGAACCUUCCCUGCCUGGGCCGGGGGCUCAGAAAUGCCCUGGGAGCUGGGGGCAGGGGCAGUGGAAGUGCUGGGGGCUGCCCCUCCUGGAGGAAGUGAAAGGGGAACGAGCAGGAGGGGAGGGAGGUGUUGGGAGCGUGCCGGCGGGUGGGGCCAGGGCUGACUCACAGCCACAGCUCACCCACCUCAGGGUGCAGCCCGGCCACCCCGUCCACAGGAGGACGAGGGGAGGACAGAGUCCCCGAGGGCCCACCGCGAGCGGAGCCAAGCCGAGCCUGUGUCACCACGCAGAAAGUUCACCCCGCCCCACCCCGGCCAGGCAGGAAUCUCCCCAUUUCUCAGACAAGCCAACUGAGACCAGUGAGAGCCAGAGACCCGGCCUAGCAGUUAAUAGCCUGCGAUUCUCAGAACGCACCAGAGCCUGGUGUGGGGUCAAGGCCCCUGGCCAGGCUCAAAGGGGCCGGCUGUGUCCCUGAGGCCCCAGCUGGGGAAACUGAGGCUCAGAGUGGCCAGUGGGCAGUGCAGAGCUGGGCUCCCUCCCUGGUGCCCAGGGCCCCACGUGGGGCCAGUCCUCAGCUGACGCCACUCCUCCAGCCUGGGGCCUGGGGCCCGGGCCCGGCCAAGUGGAAACCCGAUCGGCUCCCCCACGUAGCUGCGGAGCCAGGCCCUCCUGGGCCAGAAAUCUCAGCCGCCCGCUGGGCUGGCCAGAAACCUGAGCCUGCCCUGCAGCCAGAGCUUCAGUGCUGCCAGGGAUACAGAGGGGGGACCAAGCCCGGGCUGCACUGUCCGCUGGAGACACAGUCCUGACCCGGUGAGACUGGUUCUGUGCGAGCCCAGAGAAGCCCCAGCCACGGGCGUGGGUUUGGCAGGUCAGGCAGGGAAGGAGUUCCCUGGCACAAGGGCCGGUGGGGGGGACGGGGGCAGCAGGCAGGGCCCUCCCCCCUCCAUUUCCCAGGUCACUAGGGAAUGACUGGGGCUGUCACAUUCACUCACCUGGGCUGCUGAGACCCAUAGCCCUGGGGACACACAGAUGGACCUGAGGACACACGUGCCCACAGCUGGGACCAAGAACACAGGGUGGGGCUUGGUCCAGACCCAGGCAGGACUCAGCAAUAAACGCACUGCACACAGUGGGGCCA